AGCAGCCGCGGUAAUUCCAGCUCCAAUAGCGUAUAUUAAAGUUGUUGCAGUUAAAAAGCUCGUAGUUGAAUUUCGAGAUCAAAUUGUUGGUCGUGCCUCGGUACGUACUGGCAUUAUUGAUUUCUCCCUUCUGAAGAACCACGAUGUCAUUAAUUUGGUGUCGUGGGGAAUCAGGACUGUUACUUUGAAAAAAUUAGAGUGUUUAAAGCAGGCUCACGCUUGAAUACAUUAGCAUGGAAUAAUGAGAUAGGACGUUUGAUUCUAUUUUGUUGGUUUCUAGGAUCGACGUAAUGAUUAAUAGGGAUAGUUGGGGGCAUUAGUAUUCAAUUGUCAGAGGUGAAAUUCUUGGAUUUAUUGAAGACUAACUACUGCGAAAGCAUUUGCCAAGGAUGUUUUCAUUAAUCAAGAACGAAAGUUAGGGGGCUCGAAGACGAAUCAGAUACCGUCCUAGUCUCAACCAUAAACGAUGCCGACCAGGGAUCAGCGGAUGUUGCUUUUAGGACUC
This 505-nucleotide ribosomal RNA is filed under the name uncultured Glomus. RNAcentral describes it as "SSU rRNA". It matches the Rfam family "Eukaryotic small subunit ribosomal RNA", at positions 569 to 1077 of the family's 1831-position model. Lineage: Eukaryota; Fungi; Glomeromycota; Glomeromycetes; Glomerales; Glomeraceae. The record is from RNAcentral.